CUGCAGCAGCUUUUUUCAGUCAAUUAUGUUAAGAAAAACCUCAUUCUUCUUACGGUUUUUAACUUGUAAAUAUUGCGCGCAGCGCCCUAUGGUUAUGCAAACGAGAAGCUGAGUCAUCGCCCUUGAAAUUCACGCCGCAGCGUCGGGGCCGGGCUGACGCCUGCGUGGCCUGAAAAAAAAGCCCAGGCUCUAGUCUACGCAGGAAACCCAAGUGAGCUGCUUUUGUUCAUCCGGGCUCUGCGUGUGAUUGCUUUUGGAUGAAGGGUUUUGUUGACCCCGUAAAAAUGACGUCAGGGCUCUAUUUUUGACCUGAAAGGACGUUCACCAAAUAAAUAACGUUAAGCGAAAAAUAAACGGCGGGUUACAAAGAGAUAUGUCAUACGAUCACGCUUUUUCUUCCAAAAAUACACAUGUAUCUCUGUGCUGAGCGCGUACGUGCGUAGAAAAAAGAACGGAAGGUUUACACCAAAAUGCUAAUGGUGGUUCUCUUUGGCGAUUGCGAUUACCAGUGACCUUUUUAAAAAACUCUUUUAUUUUCUGUCCCUUUUUUCAGAAAUCUCUGCACUUAGACUGAGAAAAAUAAAGCCAAUAAAGUGAUUUCGUAACAAGCAAAGAAAAAGACUAGAAGAAAGGAAUAAUAAACACGGCAGAAUUACAAGAGAAAGAAUCGAAGAAGCCAAAAAGUUGGGCUGCUUUCAAAAAACAACGCCUCCCUUCAACUCCUACUUGGUUCCCUGAAACUGCUGCAUUUGUCAUGAGCCUGGUGACACAACCUGGAUUUAAAGAGAAAGGACUGAAGAAAAACCUAGUGCCUACUUUGGGAGCAGUGGAAACCUGCAUGCAUUGUUGGUAGGAGUGUCAAGUGGGACAACCAUCCAUUUUACUUUUAUAAAAGGAAAAAAAAGGCAUUGCCUAUAUUGCUAAAUGAUAACAGGACAAGUUACAAGAUAUAUUUUAAUAUGAUUGGAUGUUUGGCUUAAAAAUAGCUUGUUCAUGAGUGUCUGCUGUCCAUUUGGGUGUAUAGGGAAAAAACUUGAAGACUAUACAACAAAGUGUUAACAGCGGUUACGUCUGGUGGUAAGACAAUAGGUGAUGGUUUUUUACUAUAUCUGUCUGUAAGGUUUUCAAUUAGUAUGUAUUACUUAAUAUGAAACACCAAUAAGGCCAUUUCAUUACACACAAAAAGAGUUGAAAGAAGAAAAUGAAAAAAAGCAGGCAUAAAUGACUUUUAACCAAGAAAGGUUCAAUGAAAACCAAAAAGAUUGAUCAAGAAAGAACAGAAAGAGGGGGGUUUAUGGGAACCUCUUAUUUUUUUAUAAUAUAACCUUUUUUGUCAUGUAUGUAUCUUCAAAAAAAUACAAUUUAUAAAAAUGAUGGGGGUAGGGUGGGGAGUGGGUUAUAUGGGAACUUCUUAUGUUUUUUUAAUGUAACAUUCUGUGUGAUCUAUUAAAUUUAAUUUAAAAUAUGUGUUAAUUAAAAAAAAGAAAGAACAGAAAGAGAAGUUUUAAUAAUAUUGGGGAUGAUAGUGUCGCAAGACAGUUGGCUGUCUUUCCAACAUGAGGGAUCUUUAGUGAUAUAUACAUGAUAUUAGCUACAUAUUUUAUAUAUAUAUAUAUAUAUAUAUAUAUAUAUAUAUAAACUUGUCCAUCUUAAAAAUUUCAGCUGCUUUCCUUUUCUCCUUUAGUCCUAGGAGUGAUAGCUCUUUCCAGAAAUUGCCACU
This is a long non-coding RNA of Dasypus novemcinctus (nine-banded armadillo), 1720 nucleotides long. Lineage: Eukaryota; Metazoa; Chordata; Mammalia; Cingulata; Dasypodidae. The record is from Ensembl.